Molecule: ribosomal RNA, 253 nt
Filed under: uncultured bacterium
Lineage: Bacteria
Description: partial 16S ribosomal RNA
Rfam family: Bacterial small subunit ribosomal RNA
Source: RNAcentral
AACGUAGGACGCAAGCGUUAUCCGGAAUUACUGGGCGUAAAGCGCGUGUAGGUGGUUAUGUAAGUCAUUUGUGAAAGCUCUCGGCUAAACUGAGAGAGGUCAAGUGAUACUGCAUGGCUAGAGGGCAGAAGAGGGGUAUAGAAUUCCGGGUGUAGUGGUGAAAUGCGUAGAUAUCCGGAGGAAUACCAGAGGCGAAGGCGAUGCCCUGGUCUGCACCUGACACUGAGACGCGAAAGCAUGGGUAGCAAACGGG